RNAcentral lists this long non-coding RNA (274 nucleotides) under Gopherus agassizii (Agassiz's desert tortoise). RNAcentral's name for it is "lncRNA (ENSGAGG00000006566.1)". The record is from RNAcentral. Lineage: Eukaryota; Metazoa; Chordata; Testudines; Testudinidae.
UAAGCCAAGUGCGGUGGGCGAGGGCCCGUGGCCUUGACCCGCCGGGGCCGCGCUGGUCUAUCGCCCCUCCCCCGGGCCGAGCCUGCCGGGGAGGAGUUAAAGUCUCUUCAGCAGAUGCAUUCAUCCCUGAGAGCCCUCCAUCAAAUGGUUACCUCCUGUAAUGAGACGAUAAAUUCUCUUGUCCAGAACAACAACACACUAACAGGUUAGUAUUAUGCUACUGAGAUUUUUUUUUUUAAAUUCACAUAGAGGGAACUACUUUUUUAAAGACUGG